CCUACGGGAGGCAGCAGUGAGGAAUAUUGGUCAAUGGACGAGAGUCUGAACCAGCCAAGUAGCGUGAAGGAUGACUGCCCUAUGGGUUGUAAACUUCUUUUAUAUGGGAAUAAAAUGUUCCACGUGUGGGAUUUUGUAUGUACCAUAUGAAUAAGGAUCGGCUAACUCCGUGCCAGCAGCCGCGGUAAUACGGAGGAUCCGAGCGUUAUCCGGAUUUAUUGGGUUUAAAGGGAGCGUAGGUGGAUGGUUAAGUCAGUUGUGAAAGUUUGCGGCUCAACCGUAAAAUUGCAGUUGAAACUGGCAGUCUUGAGUACAGUAGAGGUAGGCGGAAUUCGUGGUGUAGCGGUGAAAUGCUUAGAUAUCACGCAGAACUCCGAUUGCGAAGGCAGUUCACUGGACUGCAACUGACACUGAGGCUCGAAAGUGUGGGUAUCAAACAGGAUUAGAUACCCCUGUAGUC
RNAcentral lists this ribosomal RNA (460 nucleotides) under uncultured bacterium. RNAcentral's name for it is "partial 16S ribosomal RNA". It matches the Rfam family "Bacterial small subunit ribosomal RNA", at positions 338 to 795 of the family's 1533-position model. The record is from RNAcentral.